CUUUAGGAGGUGAUUAGGUUAUAAGGAUUUCCCCCUCCCCCCUGAAUGCGAGUAAUGCCCUUAUAAAAGAGGCUCCAAGGAGCCUCUGGCCUCUUCCACUGUGUGAGGACACUUAGAAGGCACCAUUUAUGAGGAACAGGCUCUCACCCAACACUGAAUCUGCUCGUGCUUUGAUCUUGGCUUUCCCAGUCUCCAGAACUGAAACUCUAAUAAGGGAUUGGAAAGUGAGGCAGGCGGGGGAGGAACGAAUACCAGCAUCAUUCUGCAAGUGACUGUGGCAUUUGCAGAAAGCACCACCAGGGCAUGCAGAUGAGUGGGGCAGGUAAGGCUUGGCCCGACAGCGCCAUGUAGGGGAUGUUACUGGUCUUGUACUGAGCUCUAGCUGCCUUGGUCCCUUUAGGUUUCACCACAUCCCUGUGGAAUAUGCACUAAGCCCAUUUCCAUUUUACAGACAAGGAAACUGAGGGGGCCAAGUUCAUUGCCCAAGGACACAGCCACCAAGUGGCAGGGUGGAGAUCAGAGCCUCACGUCAACCUGGCCUGGAGCUCUUUUCCUGCCCCCACUGAGCUGCUUGGCCCCCAAGGUGGAGCUUCCGCACACGGUAUGAGGACGAGAGCAAGCCCUGGUCCUCUGUGGACCACUCUUCCUGGCCAGUGUGACCCUGGGCCCACACAAUGCUGCAAAGGCCACGAGUGCUCCACGCCAAGCACCUGGACUCCUGCGGUGGUGCCCUGGGUGUUUCUCAUCUUUGGGGCAGCUAUGCCCUUCCCAUGCCUGAUAUCAAGAGGCCUUGGGGUACCCACUUCACUCCACAUACAACUUGUGAGCCUCACUUGUGGUCGGGAGAAGAGACAGGUGACUGAUUCAAGUUCACUUCUACACAGGAGGCUGGGGAAGAGACAAUGUGAAGAUGGUCAACUGCAAACCAGGAAGCAGGCCCUCACUGGACGCCAGAUCUGCUGA
RNAcentral lists this long non-coding RNA (963 nucleotides) under Papio anubis (olive baboon). RNAcentral's name for it is "lncRNA (ENSPANG00000037091.1)". The record is from RNAcentral. Lineage: Eukaryota; Metazoa; Chordata; Mammalia; Primates; Cercopithecidae.